AGGUACAACUACGUUAUUACUGA
RNAcentral lists this non-coding RNA (23 nucleotides) under Arabidopsis thaliana (thale cress). The record is from RNAcentral. Lineage: Eukaryota; Viridiplantae; Streptophyta; Magnoliopsida; Brassicales; Brassicaceae.